CUCCUGGUAGCUUAGCUGGUUUAAAGCGCGAGACUGUAAAUAUCUUGAGAUCGGGUGUUCGACUCACCCCCGGGAGA
Yamadazyma jaroonii is the source of this 77-nucleotide non-coding RNA. The record is from the annotation of a GenBank genome assembly. Lineage: Eukaryota; Fungi; Ascomycota; Pichiomycetes; Serinales; Debaryomycetaceae.